UUCCCGACCCAGGAAUCGAACCCGGGUCUCCCGCAUUGCAGGCAGACGCUUUACCGUCUGAGCCACCAGGGA
RNAcentral lists this transfer RNA (72 nucleotides) under Haemonchus contortus (barber pole worm). Its description in RNAcentral is "tRNA, Pseudo". The record is from RNAcentral. Lineage: Eukaryota; Metazoa; Nematoda; Chromadorea; Rhabditida; Trichostrongylidae.